RNAcentral lists this long non-coding RNA (238 nucleotides) under Lathyrus oleraceus (garden pea). RNAcentral's name for it is "Pisum sativum (pea) long non-coding RNA (PSAT_LNC011615)". Lineage: Eukaryota; Viridiplantae; Streptophyta; Magnoliopsida; Fabales; Fabaceae. The record is from RNAcentral.
UUCUUUUUAAUCCAAAAAAUAUGGGACUUUUACCAAAAACAUUUAAAUAUUUUACUCUUUCAUUUUCUGAAUUUAAAUUAUUUUUUGGAUUAAUUUUGAUAUUUUUCAUGAAUUAAGUGUUUUUGUGCAUAUUUUUAAUUGUUUAAAUAUACUUCUGACUUUUCAAAAAUGAUGAUUUUUUUGUCUAAGGUCCUUUGACCUUGUUUGACCUAGGAUAAAUCUCUUGCCCGUUUAUUUG